Molecule: ribosomal RNA, 442 nt
Filed under: uncultured bacterium
Lineage: Bacteria
Description: partial 16S ribosomal RNA
Rfam family: Bacterial small subunit ribosomal RNA
Source: RNAcentral
CCUACGGGAGGCAGCAGUGGGGAAUAUUGGGCAAUGGAGGCAACUCUGACCCAGCAACGCCGCGUGAAGGAAGAAGGCCUUAGGGUUGUAAACUUAUGUUGUAAAGGAAGAAAAGAAUGACGGUACUUUACAAGAAAGCCCCGGCUAACUAUGUGCCAGCAGCCGCGGUAAGACAUAGGGGGCAAGCGUUGUUCGGAAUUACUGGGCGUAAAGGGAGCGUAGGCGGACUGUUAAGUCAGCGGUAAAAUUGAGAGGCUCAACCUCUUCGAGCCGUUGAAACUGGUUUUCUUGAGUGAGCGAGAAGUAUGCGGAAUGCGUGGUGUAGCGGUGAAAUGCAUAGAUAUCACGCAGAACUCCGAUUGCGAAGGCAGCAUACCGGCGCUCAACUGACGCUCAUGCACGAAAGUGUGGGUAUCGAACAGGAUUAGAUACCCCGGUAGUC